Long non-coding RNA from Sinocyclocheilus grahami, 1716 nucleotides. Lineage: Eukaryota; Metazoa; Chordata; Actinopteri; Cypriniformes; Cyprinidae. The record is from Ensembl.
AUUUUUUUUCUUCUAUGAACAUUAAAGCAAGAUUCCAUUCUAUUGUUUUUGACAGUAAAACGUUACAUUUGAACGUUCUCGCAACAUUUCAAACACCCAUGUUUUAUAUUUAAAGACCAUUCCUUCUUGGCUAAGCAAACGUUAGAGGAAUAUUAGAUUUGAAAAGCCUUUAAGAAAAACGUUAAACAUUCAAAACACACACACACACACACACACACACACAAGACUCCAGCAGAGACACACGGAGGUGAGGAGCACACACACACACACACACACACACACACACACAAGACUCCAGCAGAGACACACGGAGGUGAGGAGCACACACACACACACACACACACACACACACACAAGACUCCAGCAGAGACACACGGAGGUGAGGAGCACACACACACACACACACACACACACACACACAAGACUCCAGCAGAGACACACGGAGGUGAGGAGCACACACACACACACACACACACACACACACACAAGACUCCAGCAGAGACACACGGAGGUGAGGAGCACACACACACACACACACACACACACACACACAAGACUCCAGCAGAGACACACGGAGGUGAGGAGCACACACACACACACACACACACACACACACACAAGACUCCAGCAGAGACACACGGAGGUGAGGAGCACACACACACACACACACACACACACACACACAAGACUCCAGCAGAGACACACGGAGGUGAGGAGCACACACACACACACACACACACACACACACACAAGACUCCAGCAGAGACACACGGAGGUGAGGAGCACACACACACACACACACACACACACACACACAAGACUCCAGCAGAGACACACGGAGGUGAGGAGCACACACACACACACACACACACACACACACACAAGACUCCAGCAGAGACACACGGAGGUGAGGAGCACACACACACACACACACACACACACACACACAAGACUCCAGCAGAGACACACGGAGGUGAGGAGCACACACACACACACACACACACACACACACACAAGACUCCAGCAGAGACACACGGAGGUGAGGAGCACACACACACACACACACACACACACACACACAAGACUCCAGCAGAGACACACGGAGGUGAGGAGCACACACACACACACACACACACACACACACACAAGACUCCAGCAGAGACACACGGAGGUGAGGAGCACACACACACACACACACACACACACACACACAAGACUCCAGCAGAGACACACGGAGGUGAGGAGCACACACACACACACACACACACACACACACACAAGACUCCAGCAGAGACACACGGAGGUGAGGAGCACACACACACACACACACACACACACACACACAAGACUCCAGCAGAGACACACGGAGGUGAGGAGCACACACACACACACACACACACACACACACACAAGACUCCAGCAGAGACACACGGAGGUGAGGAGCACACACACACACACACACACACACACACACACAAGACUCCAGCAGAGACACACGGAGGUGAGGAGCACACACACACACACACACACACACACACACACAAGACUCCAGCAGAGACACACGGAGGUGAGGAGCACACACACACACACACACACACACACACACACAAGACUCCAGCAGAGACACACGGAGGUGAGGAGCACACACACACACACACACACACACACACAUAUAUAUAUAUAUAUAUAUACUAUAUAUUAAGGAUGUUUUAUGUG